Long non-coding RNA from Fulmarus glacialis (Northern fulmar), 670 nucleotides. RefSeq lists it as uncharacterized. The transcript is spliced from 3 exons. The record is from RefSeq and is a predicted model, not a curated record. Lineage: Eukaryota; Metazoa; Chordata; Aves; Procellariiformes; Procellariidae.
GGUGGAAAAGAAUACCUGAUGAGAGCUCACUUUGGACUUCCAAGUGUUGAAGCUGAAGAUAAGGAAGGAAAACCUCCCAUUAGUGUGAAGUUUGAGAUUCCAUAUUUCACCACUUCAGGAAUCCAGGUUCGCUACUUAAAGAUAAUUGAGAAGAGUGGCUACCAGGCUCUCCCGUGGGUUCGUUAUAUUACCCAGAAUGGAGACUACCAGCUUCGAACACAGUAAACACCUCGCAAGCACCACAGACGACAAACUUCAGGCAUAGAAUUUGUUUGCAGAAGCUUCUGUGGUACUGAGAGCUGUGAAUGUUGUUGCCAAGGGUCUUGUUUCUGCAAUCUUGGAUUGGCAGGAGAAAGAUUGGAAAAUUACUGUUUUCAAUAAUGUGUUUGAGCAUUUGAACCAUUAGUAUUGAUUGUGUGAAUAUUUAUUUCAUUCUUAGAAUAUGCUGAUCUUGCUGCUAAAUGCUAAUUACAUUAGGAGUAGCAGUUACCUUGAGGAGCCAGGAAUACAGAAUGAACCUUGAGAAUGUCUUGUCAAUGCCUUGUCCGUUACAUUCGCAAAGUUUCUAGUAUUUGUAUUUUAGGAUCUCUAAAGACAUUGGCAGCAUUAUGCUACAAAUUAGGGAGACAAUGGUGCAAUUAAAUGACUGCUGAACACUUAGUUGUAUUUA